This 253-nucleotide ribosomal RNA is filed under the name uncultured bacterium. RNAcentral's name for it is "partial 16S ribosomal RNA". It matches the Rfam family "Bacterial small subunit ribosomal RNA", at positions 524 to 776 of the family's 1533-position model. The record is from RNAcentral.
UACGUAGGGUGCAAGCGUUAAUCGGAAUUACUGGGCGUAAAGCGUGCGCAGGCGGCUAUGCAAGACAGAUGUGAAAUCCCCGGGCUCAACCUGGGAACUGCAUUUGUGACUGCAUGGCUAGAGUACGGUAGAGGGGGAUGGAAUUCCGCGUGUAGCAGUGAAAUGCGUAGAGAUGUGGAGGAAUACCGAUGGCGAAGGCAGCCCCCUGGGCCAAUACUGACGCUCAUGCACGAAAGCGUGGAGAGCAAACAGG